AUCGUCUCAGGGUUGUUCCUGGAGAGUUUCCAGUACUCUACCAGUCACGACUACAGGAGGGAGAGUCAAGCAGACGCAUACCCAUUCCAUUCCUAGCUUGGGCAGCGACUAGUGAAUGGAAGGCAAUCUGCUACAAGU
Molecule: small nucleolar RNA, 138 nt
Organism: Ornithorhynchus anatinus (platypus)
Lineage: Eukaryota; Metazoa; Chordata; Mammalia; Monotremata; Ornithorhynchidae
Source: RefSeq, a predicted model, not a curated record